GAUGAACGCUGGCGGCGUGCUUAACACAUGCAAGUCGAACGGAAAGGCUCCUGCUUGCAGGGGUACUCGAGUGGCGAACGGGUGAGUAACACGUGGGUGAUCUGCCCUGCACUUCGGGAUAAGCCUGGGAAACUGGGUCUAAUACCGGAUAGGACGAUGGUCUGGAUGCCAUUGUGGAAAGUUUUUCGGUGUGGGAUGAGCUCGCGGCCUAUCAGCUUGUUGGUGGGGUAAUGGCCUACCAAGGCGUCGACGGGUAGCCGGCCUGAGAGGGUGUACGGCCACAUUGGGACUGAGAUACGGCCCAGACUCCUACGGGAGGCAGCAGUGGGGAAUAUUGCACAAUGGGCGCAAGCCUGAUGCAGCGACGCCGCGUGGGGGAUGACGGCCUUCGGGUUGUAAACUCCUUUCGCUAGGGACGAAGCGCAAGUGACGGUACCUGGAGAAGAAGCACCGGCUAACUACGUG
This 465-nucleotide ribosomal RNA is filed under the name uncultured bacterium. RNAcentral describes it as "partial 16S ribosomal RNA". It matches the Rfam family "Bacterial small subunit ribosomal RNA", at positions 28 to 507 of the family's 1533-position model. The record is from RNAcentral.